This 468-nucleotide ribosomal RNA is filed under the name uncultured bacterium. RNAcentral describes it as "partial 16S ribosomal RNA". It matches the Rfam family "Bacterial small subunit ribosomal RNA", at positions 28 to 507 of the family's 1533-position model. The record is from RNAcentral.
GACGAACGCUGGCGGCGUGCUUAACACAUGCAAGUCGAACGGAAAGGCCCUGCUUUUGUGGGGUGCUCGAGUGGCGAACGGGUGAGUAACACGUGAGUAACCUGCCCUUGACUUUGGGAUAACUUCAGGAAACUGGGGCUAAUACCGGAUAGGAGCUCCUGCUGCAUGGUGGGGGUUGGAAAGUUUCGGCGGUUGGGGAUGGACUCGCGGCUUAUCAGCUUGUUGGUGGGGUAGUGGCUUACCAAGGCUUUGACGGGUAGCCGGCCUGGGAGGGUGACCGGCCACAUUGGGACUGAGAUACGGCCCAGACUCCUACGGGAGGAAGCAGUGGGGAAUAUUGCACAAUGGGCGGAAGCCUGAUGCAGCAACGCCGCGUGCGGGAUGACGGCCUUCGGGUUGUAAACCGCUUUCGCCUGUGACGAAGCGUGAGUGACGGUAAUGGGUAAAGAAGCACCGGCUAACUACGUG